Molecule: ribosomal RNA, 422 nt
Filed under: Fusobacteriota bacterium
Lineage: Bacteria; Fusobacteriati; Fusobacteriota
Description: Fusobacteria bacterium partial 16S ribosomal RNA
Rfam family: Bacterial small subunit ribosomal RNA
Source: RNAcentral
UGGGGGAUUUUGCACAAUGGGCGCAAGCCUGAUGCAGCGACGCCGCGUGAGGGAUGAAGGCCUUCGGGUUGUAAACCUCUUUCGCUGGGUUGAAAGGCCAUGUUUUGGGUGUGGUUGAUUUGAACUGGUAAAGAAGUACCGGCUAACUACGUGCCAGCAGCCGCGGUAAUACGUAGGGUACUAGCGUUGUCCGGAUUUAUUGGGCGUAAAGGGCUUGUAGGUGGUUUGUCGCGUCUGUCGUGAAAUCCUGUGGCUUAACCAUGGGCUUGCGGUGGGUACGGGCAGGCUUGAGUGCGGUAGGGGAGACUGGAAUUCCUGGUGUAGCGGUGGAAUGCGCAGAUAUCAGGAGGAACACCGGUGGCGAAGGCGGGUCUCUGGGCCGUUACUGACACUGAGGAGCGAAAGCGUGGGGAGCGAACAGG